Molecule: transfer RNA, 69 nt
Filed under: Ictidomys tridecemlineatus (thirteen-lined ground squirrel)
Lineage: Eukaryota; Metazoa; Chordata; Mammalia; Rodentia; Sciuridae
Description: Spermophilus tridecemlineatus (thirteen-lined ground squirrel) tRNA
Rfam family: tRNA
About the family: Transfer RNA (tRNA) molecules are approximately 80 nucleotides in length. Their secondary structure includes four short double-helical elements and three loops (D, anti-codon, and T loops).
Source: Rfam by way of RNAcentral
GCAUGUAGCUCAGUGGUAGAGCACUUGCCUACCAUGCACAAGGGCCUGGGUUCAAUCCCUAGCACUGCA